This 415-nucleotide ribosomal RNA is filed under the name uncultured archaeon. Its description in RNAcentral is "bacterial SSU rRNA". It matches the Rfam family "Bacterial small subunit ribosomal RNA", at positions 509 to 926 of the family's 1533-position model. The record is from RNAcentral.
CAGCCGCCGCGGUAAUACGGAGGGUGCAAGCGUUAUCCGGAUUCACUGGGUUUAAAGGGUGCGUAGGCGGGCAGGUAAGUCAGUGGUGAAAUCCUGGAGCUCAACUCCAGAACUGCCAUUGAUACUAUCUGUCUUGAAUAUUGUGGAGGUAAGCGGAAUAUGUCAUGUAGCGGUGAAAUGCUUAGAUAUGACAUAGAACACCCAUUGCGAAGGCAGCUUACUACGCAUAUAUUGACGCUGAGGCACGAAAGCGUGGGGAUCAAACAGGAUUAGAUACCCUGGUAGUCCACGCCCUAAACGAUGGAUACUCGACAUACGCGAUACACUGUGUGUGUCUGAGCGAAAGCAUUAAGUAUCCCACCUGGGAAGUACGUUCGCAAGAAUGAAACUCAAAGGAAUUGGCGGGGGAGCACGG